GGGGUGUAAAGCUCUUUCCGCCGGGACGAUCAUGACGGUACCCGAAGAAGAAGCCGCGGCUAACUACGUGCCAGCAGCCGCGGUAAUACGUAGGCAGCGAGCGUUGUUCGGAAUUACUGGGCGUAAAGAGUGCGUAGGCGGUGCUCUAAGUUAGGUGUGAAAUCUCCGGGCUUAACUCGGAGGGUGCGCCAGAAACUGGAGUGCUCGAGCGUGGGAGAGGAAAGCGGAAUUCCCGGUGUAGCGGUGAAAUGCGUAGAUAUCAGGAGGAACACCUGCGGUGUAGACGGCUUUCUGGACCAUUGCUGACGCUGAGACACGAAAGCGUGGGUAGCAAACAGGAUUAGAUACCCUGGUAGUCCACGCCCUAAACGAUGCAUACUUGGUGUCGGCCAUUCAGUUGGUCGGUGCCCGAGCUAACGCGUUAAA
RNAcentral lists this ribosomal RNA (426 nucleotides) under uncultured Acidobacteriota bacterium. Its description in RNAcentral is "bacterial SSU rRNA". It matches the Rfam family "Bacterial small subunit ribosomal RNA", at positions 420 to 864 of the family's 1533-position model. The record is from RNAcentral. Lineage: Bacteria; Pseudomonadati; Acidobacteriota.